Molecule: ribosomal RNA, 497 nt
Filed under: uncultured bacterium
Lineage: Bacteria
Description: partial 16S ribosomal RNA
Rfam family: Bacterial small subunit ribosomal RNA
Source: RNAcentral
GACGAACGCUGGCGGCGUGCCUAAUACAUGCAAGUCGAACGCUGAAGAGAGGAGCUUGCUCUUCUUGGAUGAGUUGCGAACGGGUGAGUAACGCGUAGAUAACCUGCCUUGUAGCGGGGGAUAACUAUUGGAAACGAUAGCUAAUACCGCAUAACAAUGGAUGACACAUGUAAUUUAUUUGAAAGGGGCAAUUGCUCCACUACAAGAUGGACCUGCGUUGUAUUAGCUAGUAGGUGAGGUAAUGGCUCACCUAGGCGACGAUACAUAGCCGACCUGAGAGGGUGAUCGGCCAAACUGGGACUGAGACACGGCCCAGACUCCUACGGGAGGCAGCAGUAGGAAAUCUUCGGCAAUGGGGGCAACCCUGACCGAGCAACGCCGCGGGAGUGAAGAAGGUUUUCGGAUCGGAAAGCUCUGUUGUAAGUGAAGAACGGGUAUGAGAGUGGAAAGUUCACACUGUGACGGUAGCUUACCAGAAAGGGACGGCUAACUACGUG